AUACAGAGGGUGCAAGCGUUAAUCGGAUUUACUGGGCGUAAAGCGCGCGUAGGUGGCUAAUUAAGUCAAAUGUGAAAUCCCCGAGCUUAACUUGGGAAUUGCAUUCGAUACUGGUUAGCUAGAGUAUGGGAGAGGAUGGUAGAAUUCCAGGUGUAGCGGUGAAAUGCGUAGAGAUCUGGAGGAAUACCGAUGGCGAAGGCAGCCAUCUGGCCAAAUACUGACACUGAGGUGCGAAAGCAUGGGGAGCAAACAGAAUUAGAUACCCGGGUAGUCCAUGCCGUAAACGAUGUCUACUAGCCGUUGGGGCCCUUGAGGCUUUAGUGGCGCAGCUAACGCGAUAAGUAGACCGCCUGGGGAGUACGGUCGCAAGACUAAAACUCAAAUGAAUUGACGGGG
RNAcentral lists this ribosomal RNA (396 nucleotides) under uncultured bacterium. RNAcentral describes it as "partial 16S ribosomal RNA". It matches the Rfam family "Bacterial small subunit ribosomal RNA", at positions 523 to 918 of the family's 1533-position model. The record is from RNAcentral.